GGUUGAGCUUGCCUAGCCGCCCUUCUUUCUGGGGGGUGGAGAUCCGAUCCAGCCCAAGGAGCAAGCUCCUCACCUGAGAGGGCUUGUACAGCCAUCAGGGUCAGAGUCCUACUCACCUGUGGUCCUCUACAUCUGCUGACUUUUCUCCACUCUAAAACUGCUGAUCAGAGGGUGCAGAGUCCUUGGACAGAGCACUGAACCGGAAGUUCUGCUUAUGUACUUACACCCGAGAGGAGCCUCCGCCGAUUUGAAAGGAUAGCCAUAAAGGUGGUUGCAGAAGAAGAAGGUGGGAGGAGAUCCCAGCUUGUUGAAGUGCUUUCACUAAGCAGUGGUAGCAAUUUGAAAUGACAGGAGAUUGAAGUCUGAGAGGCUGAUGUCAUCAAGAAAGAACUAUAACGCCUGAGAAGGGAAAGUCAAAGGACUGUUCACCAUUUUCCACUGGAGAGGUUGAGGAGCCUCCUUUGGCAGUUGUGAUGAGGUGGAAUGAAAGUACCUUGGAGAGAAUGUACAGCAUAUAUCGACAUUCCAUGACUGAUUCCAGUUUGUUUACCACAUGUUUUCAAGAAGCCUUUUAAAAUUGAUUGGUCACAGGAGGCAGAGACAAGAUGGCAGAGUAGAGGGAGCAUUCCAGCUUAACUCUCUCAACAUUCUCCUCCAAUAAACUGUAAAAUAAUAUAUCAAAUCAAACUCUGGAGCAGCAUAUCCAACAAAAGGUCAGGGGAAAAUUAUUCUUCCAGGUCAAGACAACAUAGGACAAGUCACUUAACCUCAAUUGCCUUGCCAAAAAAAAAAAAGUAAGUUCC
Phascolarctos cinereus (koala) is the source of this 803-nucleotide non-coding RNA. The record is from RefSeq and is a predicted model, not a curated record. Lineage: Eukaryota; Metazoa; Chordata; Mammalia; Diprotodontia; Phascolarctidae.